RNAcentral lists this ribosomal RNA (549 nucleotides) under Preussia sp. GS2_2_23. RNAcentral describes it as "eukaryotic LSU rRNA". The stretch from base 191 to 345 matches the Rfam family "5.8S ribosomal RNA". Lineage: Eukaryota; Fungi; Ascomycota; Dothideomycetes; Pleosporales; Sporormiaceae. The record is from RNAcentral.
UAAGGGUGCCGUAAGGUUGAACCUGGCGGAAGGAUCAUUUAUCCGUUUGGGCUCCCUGGCCAUUUCGAGAUAACACCCUUGCCUUUUUGAGUACCUUCUUCGUUUCCUCGGCAGGCACGCCUGCCAACGGGGACCCUUCAAAACGCUUUGUAAUACCUGUCAUUCGUCUGAUAUAACAAGCAAAAAUCAAAACUUUCAACAACGGAUCUCUUAGGUUCUGGCAUCGAUGAAGAACGCAGCGAAAUGCGAUAAGUAGUGUGAAUUGCAGAAUUCAGUGAAUCAUCGAAUCUUUGAACGCACAUUGCGCCCUUUGGUAUUCCUUAGGGCAUGCCUGUUCGAGCGUCAUUUAAACCUUCAAGCUCAGCUUGGUGUGGGUGACUGUCCCCUCCCUUCGCGGGGGGACUCGCCUCAAAAACAUUGGCGGCCGGUACAUUGGCUUCGAGCGCAGCAGAAACGCGGUCUCGAGCCCGGUGGAUCGGCUCCCAUAAGCCUCAUUCUUUAUUUUGACCUCGGAUCAGGUAGGGAUACCCGCUGAACUUAAGCUUAGCG